Molecule: microRNA precursor, 66 nt
Filed under: Bombyx mori (domestic silkworm)
Lineage: Eukaryota; Metazoa; Arthropoda; Insecta; Lepidoptera; Bombycidae
Description: mir-2774 microRNA precursor family
Rfam family: mir-2774 microRNA precursor family
Source: Rfam by way of RNAcentral
ACAACAUUCGGACCGUCGGUCUACCGAGCAAUAUCACUGCUCGGUAGAAGAUCUUACCUCCAUGGU